This 264-nucleotide ribosomal RNA is filed under the name uncultured bacterium. RNAcentral's name for it is "partial 16S ribosomal RNA". It matches the Rfam family "Bacterial small subunit ribosomal RNA", at positions 793 to 1055 of the family's 1533-position model. The record is from RNAcentral.
GUCCACGCCCUAAACGAUGUCAACUGGUUGUUGGACGGCUUGCUGUUCAGUAACGAAGCUAACGCGUGAAGUUGACCGCCUGGGGAGUACGGCCGCAAGGUUGAAACUCAAAGGAAUUGACGGUGACCCCGCACAAGCGGUGGAUGAUGUGGUUUAAUUCGAUGCAACGCGAAAACCUUACCUACCCUUGACAUGCUAGGAAUCCUGCAGAGAUGUGGGAGUGCUCGAAAGAGAACCUAGACACAGGUGCUGCAUGGCCGUCGU